GUACUCAGCUAUAGAAGCCAGGAUUGUGAUUCCUGUUGUCGUGGGUUCGAGCCCUAUCAGCCACCCCA
RNAcentral lists this transfer RNA (68 nucleotides) under Pseudoduganella umbonata. RNAcentral describes it as "tRNA-His". Lineage: Bacteria; Pseudomonadati; Pseudomonadota; Betaproteobacteria; Burkholderiales; Oxalobacteraceae. The record is from RNAcentral.